This 882-nucleotide long non-coding RNA is filed under the name Salvia miltiorrhiza (redroot sage). Its description in RNAcentral is "long non-coding RNA (SMIL_LNC012081)". Lineage: Eukaryota; Viridiplantae; Streptophyta; Magnoliopsida; Lamiales; Lamiaceae. The record is from RNAcentral.
GGAUUUAAAGUCAAGGAUUCUAUCGCAAAUUUUUAAAGUCAGGGGAAAUAUACGAAAACGGGGAAAAUAUAAGAAUUUUGACUCUAUUUGCCCUAAGUAAAAUCAAGCCCAAACUAAAAACUCUCUCUUUUCCCUCUUCAAAAAAAAAAAACUCUCUUUUCUCUCUCUCAUAUACAAUCAGUCUCCUUCCUCGUAUCUCUCACUCUCUCUCAAUCUCACAGAUACGCACACACAUCCCCCACCGCUUCCUCCUCCGGCGAAGGGCGCCGUCCUCGACCACCUACGCCACAGGCAUCUCCUCCGUCUCACCUCUCGCUCCCUGUCUACCCCCUUCUAUCACUCAGCGCGCACGGCGAGGCUGCACAUGCAGCGCCGCCUCCGUCGCUACGCCGCCGCCGCAGUCACCAUCUCCACGCCUUCCAUCUGUAAUUUUCGGCCUUGCUACCUCUCGUUUUGCUACCCGAGGUUUGCUAUCUCAAUUUUAUUCAAUUACAAUGCUAAUUUAAAAAACCUAAAACUUGAAAUCCUUAACACCCAAACUCCCUUCACUCCCUAAUUGACUGUCGCUGCUGUGACCACCAUCUCGCCGCCCCUCGCACCUUCAAAAUCACAGGUCGUUGUAGUUGCUGCUCUCGUCGCAGUUGCGCUCCUACUGGCGGUGCUACAGGUGCCGCUGCAACUGCCCCUGCUGUCGAAGAAAAGAAGAAAAAAAGGUGUGUGGAGGAGUUCUCUUUUCGAAAUUCUCGUACUAAUUGCAUAUUUUGUUUCUAUUUUCUGCAUUUUUUUUGUUGCUUUUAUUUCAAGAAAUUUUAGGUUUCUAAGUUAUGUUCUUUCCCAUUUGCACUAUUUUGUUGUGCAAAUGAUUUACAGAAUCAGUUAAAU